GUGAACGCUGGCGGUCGGCCUCACACAUGCCAGUCGGACGGCAGCACAGUAAGAGCUUGCUCUUACGGGUGGCGAGUGGCGGACGGGUGAGGAAUACAUCGGAAUCUACUUUUUCGUGGGGGAUGACGUAGGGAAACUUACGCUAAUACCGCAUACGACCUACGGGUGAAAGCAGGGGAUCUUCGGACCUUGCGCGAUUGAAUGAGCCGAUGUCGGAUUAGCUAGUUGGCGGGGUAAAGGCCCACCAAGGCGACGAUCCGUAGCUGGUCUGAGAGGAUGAUCAGCCACACUGGAACUGAGACACGGUCCAGACUCCUACGGGAGGCAGCAGUGGGGAAUAUUGGACAAUGGGCGCAAGCCUGAUCCAGCCAUACCGCGUGGGUGAAGAAGGCCUUCGGGUUGUAAAGCCCUUUUGUUGGGAAAGAAAAGCAGCAGGUUAAUACCCCGCUGUUCUGACGGUACCCAAAGAAUAAGCACCGGCUAACUUCGUG
RNAcentral lists this ribosomal RNA (491 nucleotides) under uncultured bacterium. Its description in RNAcentral is "partial 16S ribosomal RNA". It matches the Rfam family "Bacterial small subunit ribosomal RNA", at positions 29 to 507 of the family's 1533-position model. The record is from RNAcentral.